UCUCCGUUGGUGAACCAGCGGAGGGAUCAUUACAGAGUUGCAAAACUCCCAAACCAUUGUGAACGUUACCUAUCCCGUUGCUUCGGCGGGCGGCCCGGGCCCCGCGCCCGGCGCCCCCCGGCCCCCCGUGGCCGCCCGCCGGAGGUAAACCAAACCCUUGAAUUGCAUGGCCUCUCUGAGUCCUCUGUACUGAAUAAGUCAAAACUUUCAACAACGGAUCUCUUGGUUCUG
Molecule: unclassified non-coding RNA, 231 nt
Filed under: plant metagenome
Description: partial contains small subunit ribosomal RNA, internal transcribed spacer 1, and 5.8S ribosomal RNA
Source: RNAcentral